Camellia sinensis is the source of this 315-nucleotide non-coding RNA. NCBI's taxonomy places the organism in Eukaryota, Viridiplantae, Streptophyta, Magnoliopsida, Ericales, Theaceae. The record is from RefSeq and is a predicted model, not a curated record.
GGCUCACUGUAGAUGCCACUGGUGCUCAAGGGGUGAAGUAUAAAAAACCAAAACCCACAAAUUCCAAGCCUUUCAAGCUAAGGACUGAUGAGUGAGGAAUUCUUAAGGAAGCAAAAUUGGAGAGGAAAAUGCAAGCACUAGUUCCUCAUAAAGAAAUUGCAGCAGCCACAAUGCUCCCAAGCAGAAGUUUACACAAAAAAGCAUAGGAAUGAAAUCCAAAGAAAUGACAAGUGCCUCGAACAAAGAAAGUGCAAUCACGAUACAAAUGAAAGCCGUGGAAAUGAAUUACAGAAAAAUUAUAAAAAGGAUGAACCC